RNAcentral lists this ribosomal RNA (466 nucleotides) under uncultured bacterium. Its description in RNAcentral is "partial 16S ribosomal RNA". It matches the Rfam family "Bacterial small subunit ribosomal RNA", at positions 28 to 507 of the family's 1533-position model. The record is from RNAcentral.
GAUGAACGCUGGCGGCGUGCUUAACACAUGCAAGUCGAACGAUGAAGCUCAGCUUGCUGGGUGGAUUAGUGGCGAACGGGUGAGUAACACGUGAGUAACCUGCCCUUAACUCUGGGAUAAGCCUGGGAAACUAGGUCUAAUACCGGAUAGGAGCGCCUACCGCAUGGUGGGUGUUGGAAAGAUUUAUCGGUUUUGGAUGGACUCGCGGCCUAUCAGCUUGUUGGUGGGGUAAUGGCUCACCAAGGCGACGACGGGUAGCCGGCCUGAGAGGGUGACCGGCCACACUGGGACUGAGACACGGCCCAGACUCCUACGGGAGGCAGCAGUGGGGAAUAUUGCACAAUGGGCGAAAGCCUGAUGCAGCGACGCCGCGUGAGGGAUGACGGCCUUCGGGUUGUAAACCUCUUUCAGUAGGGAAGAAGCGAGAGUGACGGUACCUGCAGAAGAAGCACCGGCUAACUACGUG